GACGAACGCUGGCGGCGUGCCUAAUACAUGCAAGUAGAACGCUGAAGGAGGAGCUUGCUUCUCCGGAUGAGUUGCGAACGGGUGAGUAACGCGUAGGUAACCUGCCUGGUAGCGGGGGAUAACUAUUGGAAACGAUAGCUAAUACCGCAUAAGAGUAGAUGUCGCAUGACAUUUGCUUAAAAGGUGCAACUGCACCACUACCAGAUGGACCUGAGUUGUAUUAGCUAGUUGGUGAGGUAACGGCUCACCAAGGCAACGAUACAUAGCCGACCUGAGAGGGUGAUCGGCCACACUGGGACUGGAACAAGGCCCAGAAUCCUACGGGAGGCAGCAGUAGGGAAUCUUCGGGAAUGGACGGAAGUCUGACCGAGCAACGACGCGGGAGUGAAGAAGGUUUUCGGGUCGUAAAACUCUGUUGGAAGGGAAGAACGAGUGUGAGAGUGGAAAGUUCACACUGUGACGGUAUCUUACCAGAAAGGUACGGCUAACUACGUG
RNAcentral lists this ribosomal RNA (495 nucleotides) under uncultured bacterium. RNAcentral's name for it is "partial 16S ribosomal RNA". It matches the Rfam family "Bacterial small subunit ribosomal RNA", at positions 28 to 507 of the family's 1533-position model. The record is from RNAcentral.